Gambusia affinis (western mosquitofish) is the source of this 752-nucleotide long non-coding RNA. RefSeq lists it as uncharacterized. The transcript has 3 exons. The record is from RefSeq and is a predicted model, not a curated record. NCBI's taxonomy places the organism in Eukaryota, Metazoa, Chordata, Actinopteri, Cyprinodontiformes, Poeciliidae.
UAGCUGUAUGUGCACCUUCAGUGAACUGUAUUAGCUGUAUGUGAUCUCAAAAUAUCAAUCUGUCAACGUAUCAACUCACCAGCUCCUGUUAAAUAAUGGACAAAGUGUAGAAGAAGAAACAAUAACUAGUCUAUGAUUGACCAGUUUUCCGCUAUCGCCCCGUGACUCCGGUUGCUAUGGCUUCCAUAGCUAAAAUAUGGAUGCAUUAUGCUAACGCGGCUAGCAAGUCGAAGCUUGUUCAGUAGGAGUUUUAUGAAUUUUUCAUAGAAACAUGCCUGUUUCAUAGUUACAGGGAUGUUAUGUAUGGAUACAUUACAAAUUCACAAUAUUAGUUGGUCUGGAAAAAGACACAUUUGUAGUUUAACAGCCUACUUCUCAGACCUGGUAGCUGCCAACACUUUGCAGAGGCAGCCGCCACGGGGAUGGCAGAAGGUCCCUCAGUAUAGCUCUCUUGCUCCGUCGCGCAUCGGGACUUGUGCAGGGCUAGCUGCUAGCACCUCUGCAGACCCCACACAUCCUGGACCCAAACUGUGAAGACGUUUGCCGUCGGCUCAACGCCGCAGAGGCAGUUUCUCCUCCCAAGCCAUGCGUGCGUUUCGAGGAACGAGGGACUCGUAUCUCAUUGUCGCUGCUCUGAUCAACAAGACAGAAAACAUUCGAUCCCAAGAAAAUCCGGAAACUGCGUGGUGGGAAAAUGUGUUUGUUUUGGAGCUACUGUGAUUUCUACAUCCCCUUUCUACCACAACAAUAAA